CACUCUAGAGAGACUGCCAGGGAUAACCUGGAGGAAGGUGGGGAUGACGUCAAAUCAUCAUGCCCCUUAUGCUUAGGGCUACACACGUGCUACAAUGGGUAGUACAGAGGGUUGCCAAGCCGUAAGGUGGAGCUAAUCCCUUAAAGCUACUCUUAGUUCGGAUUGUAGGCUGAAACUCGCCUACAUGAAGCUGGAGUUACUAGUAAUCGCAGAUCAGAAUGCUGCGGUGAAUGCGUUCCCGGGUCUUGUACACACCGCCCGUCACACCACGGGAGUUGGAG
RNAcentral lists this ribosomal RNA (281 nucleotides) under Clostridioides difficile. Its description in RNAcentral is "partial 16S ribosomal RNA". It matches the Rfam family "Bacterial small subunit ribosomal RNA", at positions 1136 to 1416 of the family's 1533-position model. Lineage: Bacteria; Bacillati; Bacillota; Clostridia; Peptostreptococcales; Peptostreptococcaceae. The record is from RNAcentral.